GGAGGUAUUAAUGGAUGAGGCGGCAGCCCUGUGGUUCACUUAAUUAAAAUCACUUGUUCCUGCAAUACUUAUGGGUUAAGCACUCCUCCUGCAAUUCCUGCGCCCAGGGCAGGGCUGGAGGGGGUCCUGGGCUCUCUCUGCAGGCGCUGUUUCACACUUGGGCUCCCCACAUACUCGGGACACGUGGUGCUUCAAGUCUCCGUGUUCACGCCUGCACGUGAGCGCGUUGUGCGCCGGGAGAGGCUUCACAGAAAUGCGUCCAGGCCUGAGCUAAACGUGGCCGCCCCUGGCCCCUCGGGGAGCCUGGCCCCGGCCCAGCGUCUGUCCUUCACUGAACACAGUGGGCCGUGCCCAGAUCGCGGAAUAAGAGGCCACAGGAGAGAUGCAGGACAUCUGACUGGUCCAGCCACCUCCUUGCAUGUGGGGCAGGAGCCCGAGAUGAUCCCCAUUCUACAGACGAGGAAGCCAGGCUCUGAGCGGCCGCGUGACUUGCUGAGAUCCACAGCUGCUCGUGGCAGGGGUGGGACUGCGACCCAGGACUGUGUGACUCCACAGGGCCCCGCCUUCUUCUGCACCCUCCUCAGAGGGAGUAUUCCACCCCGUGACAAUCAGGUUUUCCUCACAUUAAAGAAAGGAAAAUGUAAAUUGUCAGGAGAGUGAUUCUCUAACGAGAUGCUCAAGGGAAUUUCUACAACUUUGAGCAUUAACAGAAAUGCUAAUAGCUAAUAUUAACAUCUGCCCCUCUGUUGUAAGCACUUUGCUGGGAUUCACUGUUUAAACUUUAAACAAACUUAUGUGAGAUGAUUUUAUGUGACAUCAUUACCCCUGUUUUACAGAUGUGGAAAUUUCAUCAGGGAGAAAAGAAAUCACUUGCUCCAAAACCCCGCGUCCAGAAUUCUGUUUCCCUGGAAAUAUGCCCAGGAUGGGGAUUUUCACACCUAUGGGAAGUUGCAUUGUUGGGCAUCAUUGUCCUAAUUUUUCACCCUCCCUUCCCUGGAUCCUUGCCCUUUGUCACGUGACUUUGUAGGUUUCCCCUCUAGAUGUGGAGUCUGUUGUCUCGUUGAACUUGGAUUUGGUUAUGUGAUUUGCUCUGCCUGAUGGGAUGUGGGCAGAGGGUUGAAUGUGCUUGCCCAGCUGGUCCUGACCUCCUGUGCUCCGCCUUCUCUAUGAGAAGAAUAUGCCUCUGGUGUCACUGGUCCUGGGAAGAUGAGAGACUCGUGGACAGACCCGGACUCAACCCUUAGCUUGAAGCCAAGUAAAGCCAGGCCCGGCCUGGAUGUGAUGAACCCCAGCAGACGUGUAGACAUGAGAAUAAGAAAUAAAUGCUUAUUGUUGUUUGCAA
Molecule: long non-coding RNA, 1342 nt
Organism: Orcinus orca (killer whale)
Lineage: Eukaryota; Metazoa; Chordata; Mammalia; Artiodactyla; Delphinidae
Exons: 3
Source: RefSeq, a predicted model, not a curated record